AAUGUAUGUUAAGUGGAAAAGGAUGUGAAAUUGCACAGACAACCAGGAUGUUGGCUUAGAAGCAGCCAUACAUUAAAAGAGUGCGUAAUAGCUCACUGGUCGAGUGGUUUUGCGCCGAAAAUUACCGGGGCUCAAACAUACUACCGAAGCUUUGAAUUCACACGCAAGUGUGAGUGGUAGAAGAGCAUCGUAUGAUAGGGAGAAGGAGGAUUGAAAAAGACUCUGGACGAAAUACGAGAGAGAAUGUUGGCAUGAGUAGCGAGAUGUGUGUGAGAAUCACACAGGCCGAAAACCCAAGGAUUUCCAAGGAAGGUUCGUCCGCUUGGAGUAAGUCGGGACCUAAGGAGAGGCAGAAAUGCGUAUCUGAUGGACAACAGGUUAAGAUUCCUGUACCUACGCUUAUCGCCAAAGAGGAGAAGGAAUGACGCAGGAGGAUAAGAUCAGCGCACGGCUGGAAGAGUGCGUCCAAGCAGUAAGGCAGGCAUAUAGGCAAAUCCGUAUGCUAAUAAUGUUAAGCUGUGAUGGGGAGAGAAGUUAAGUAUCGAAGGAUCUGAUUUCACACUGACAGGAAAAGUUUCUAUCCAGAUAAGAGUAGCCCGUACCGUAAACCGACACAGGUGGGAGAGGUGAGAAACCUAAGGCCAGCGAGAGAACUGUUGUUAAGGAACUCGGCAAAAUGACCCCGUAACUUAGGGAUAAGGGGUGCCUACGAGAGUAGGCUUCAAGAAAAAGGCCCAAGCGACUGUUUACCAAAAACAUAGGUAUCUGCGAAACCGCAAGGUGAAGUAUAGGUGCUGACGCCUGCCCGGUGCUGGAAGGUUAAGAGGAGAUGUCAGGCAACGAAGCAUUGAAUUUAAGCCCCAGUAAACGGCGGCCGUAACUAUAACGGUCCUAAGGUAGCGAAAUUCCUUGUCGGGUAAGUUCCGACCCGCACGAAAGGCGUAACGAUUUGGGCACUGUCUCAACAACAGACUCGGUGAAAUUGUAAUACCGGUGAAGAUGCCGGAAACCUGCGACAGGACGGAAAGACCCCAUGGAGCUUUACUGUAGCUUAGUAUUGAAUUUAUGUAAUUAAUGUACAGAAUAGGUGGGAGGCUGAGAGAUUAGGUCGUCAGAUUUAAAGGAGCCGCCUUUGGGAUACCACCCUUUGAUUAUGUGAGUUCUAACCGGAAUCUUUGAAGCAAGGUACGGGACAGUGCUUGGCGGACAGUUUGACUGGGGCGGUCGCCUCCCAAAGAGUAACGGAGGCGUCCAAAGGUUCCCUCAGCAUGGUCGGAAAUCAUGCGAAGAGUGCAAAGGCAAAAGGGAGCUUGAUUGCGAGACCAACAAGUCGAGCAAAGACGAAAGUCGGGCUUAGUGAUCCGGUGGUAGAAAGUGGAAUUGCCAUCGCUCAACGGAUAAAAGCUACCCUGGGGAUAACAGGCUGAUCUCCCCCAAGAGUUCACAUCGACGGGGAGGUUUGGCACCUCGAUGUCGGCUCAUCACAUCCUGGGGCUGGAGUAGGUCCCAAGGGUUGGGCUGUUCGCCCAUUAAAGUGGUACGCGAGCUGGGUUCAGAACGUCGUGAGACAGUUCGGUCCCUAUCCGUCGCAGGCGUUGGAUAUUUGAG
RNAcentral lists this ribosomal RNA (1608 nucleotides) under human metagenome. RNAcentral's name for it is "bacterial LSU rRNA". It matches the Rfam family "Bacterial large subunit ribosomal RNA", at positions 1051 to 2666 of the family's 2925-position model. The record is from RNAcentral.